AUUAAUAUAUAUUGUAUUUGUAAAAUAAUUCUGAAAAUAUAAAUAAACAUAAAUAGAAAUAAACAUAAACAGAAAUGAACAUAAACGAAAAACUAAUUAGAGCCCACUGAAUUCACAGUAUUUCCUUAACGAAUUUAAUCCCUCCUAGUAUCAAAGGUUAUGGAUUAUUUCCUACCAGGAUGAACGAAAUACACACUGGUGUAGUGGUACUUCAAACCCUAGUUUCAGCGAAC
Molecule: long non-coding RNA, 233 nt
Filed under: Nicotiana benthamiana
Lineage: Eukaryota; Viridiplantae; Streptophyta; Magnoliopsida; Solanales; Solanaceae
Description: long non-coding RNA (NBEN_LNC022440)
Source: RNAcentral